Non-coding RNA from Ornithorhynchus anatinus (platypus), 111 nucleotides. Lineage: Eukaryota; Metazoa; Chordata; Mammalia; Monotremata; Ornithorhynchidae. The record is from Rfam.
UUGCUGUCCCGGCUUUGGCAGCACAUACACUAAAGUUAGCGUGAUUCAGAAAGAUUAGCAUGGCCCACGUGGAAGGAUAACAUACAGAUUUGCAAAACGCUCCACAUUUUU